This 448-nucleotide ribosomal RNA is filed under the name Bacillus sp. enrichment culture clone DWSR72. Its description in RNAcentral is "bacterial SSU rRNA". It matches the Rfam family "Bacterial small subunit ribosomal RNA", at positions 62 to 489 of the family's 1533-position model. Lineage: Bacteria; Bacillati; Bacillota; Bacilli; Caryophanales; Bacillaceae. The record is from RNAcentral.
UCGAGCGAAUGGAUUAAGAGCUUGCUCUUAUGAAGUUAGCGGCGGACGGGUGAGUAACACGUGGGUAACCUGCCCAUAAGACUGGGAUAACUCCGGGAAACCGGGGCUAAUACCGGAUAACAUUUUGAACCGCAUGGUUCGAAAUUGAAAGGCGGCUUCGGCUGUCACUUAUGGAUGGACCCGCGUCGCAUUAGCUAGUUGGUGAGGUAACGGCUCACCAAGGCAACGAUGCGUAGCCGACCUGAGAGGGUGAUCGGCCACACUGGGACUGAAACACGGCCCAAACUCCUACGGGAGGCAGCAGUAGGGAAUCUUCCCCAAUGGACGAAAAUCUGACGGAACAACGCCGCGUGAGUGAUGAAGGCUUUCGGGUCCUAAAACUCCUGUUGUUAGGGAAAAACAAGUGCUAGUUGAAAAAGCUGGCACCUUGACGGUACCUAACCAAAAA